RNAcentral lists this ribosomal RNA (1513 nucleotides) under uncultured bacterium. RNAcentral's name for it is "bacterial SSU rRNA". It matches the Rfam family "Bacterial small subunit ribosomal RNA". The record is from RNAcentral.
AGAGUUUGAUCAUGGCUCAGAACGAACGCUGACGGCGUGCCUAAUACAUGCAAGUCGCACGUGAAAGUCCUUCGGGGUGAGUAAAGUGGCGCACGGGUGAGUAACGCGUAGGUGACCUGCCUUAAUGUGGGGGAUAACUCCGGGAAACCGGAGCUAAUACCGCAUGUGAUGGAUGACCUUAGAAAAGUUCAUCAAAGAUGGCCUCUACUUGUAAGCUAUCGCAUUAAGAAGGGCCUGCGUUCCAUUAGCUAGUUGGUGGGGUAAUGGCCUACCAAGGCUACGAUGGAUAACUGGUCUGAGAGGAUGAUCAGUCACACUGGAACUGAGACACGGUCCAGACUCCUACGGGAGGCAGCAGUAGGGAAUAUUGCGCAAUGGGGGAAACCCUGACGCAGCAACGCCGUGUGAGGGAGGAAGGUCUUCGGAUUGUAAACCUCUGUCGAUAGGGAAAAAUGGUAGGUGUUCGAACAGGGCAUCUAUUUGAUGGUACCUAUGAAGGAAGCACCGGCUAACUUCGUGCCAGCAGCCGCGGUAAUACGAAGGGUGCAAGCGUUGUUCGGAUUUAUUGGGCGUAAAGCGCGCGCAGGCGGGAUUGUGUGUCAGAUGUGAAAUCUCGGAGCUCAACUCCGAACGUGCGUCUGAAACUGCAGUUCUAGAAUGCUGGAGGGGGAAGGGGAAUUUCACGUGUAGGGGUAAAAUCCGUAGAGAUGUGAAGGAACACCGGAGGCGAAGGCGCCUUCCUGGCCAGUUAUUGACGCUGAGGCGCGAAAGCGUGGGGAUCAAACAGGAUUAGAUACCCUGGUAGUCCACGCUGUAAACGAUGAGCACUCGUUAUUGUGGGUUUAACCCCUGCAGUAACAAAGCUAACGCAUUAAGUGCUCCGCCUGGGGAGUACGGUCGCAAGAUUAAAACUCAAAGGAAUUGACGGGGGCCCGCACAAGCGGUGGAUUAUGUGGUUUAAUUCGAAGCGACGCGCAAAACCUUACCUGGGCUUGAACUCUCACGAACCUGGUAGAGGUAUCGGGGUGCCCGCAAGGGAAUGUGAUGAGAGGCGCUGCAUGGCUGUCGUCAGCUCGUGUUGUGAAAUGUUGGGUUAAGUCUCGCAACGAGCGCAACCCCUAUCCUUAGUUGCCAGCAUUAAGUUGGGCACUCUAGGGAGACUGCCUGGGUUAACCAGGAGGAAGGUGGGGAUGACGUCAAGUCCUCAUGGCCCUUAUGUCCAGGGCUACACACGUAAUACAAUGGCCGGUACAGAGGGAAGCGAACUCGCGAGGGGGAGCUAAUCUCAAAAAGCCGGUCUCAGUCCGGAUUGAAGUCUGCAACUCGACUUCAUGAAGUUGGAAUCGCUAGUAAUCGUGGAUCAGCAUGCCACGGUGAAUACGUUCCCGGGCCUUGUACACACCGCCCGUCACACCAUGGGAGUUGGUUCAACCUGAAGACGUGACCUUAACCGCAAGGGGAGGAGCGUCCACGGUGGGGCCGAUGACUGGGGUGAAGUCGUAACAAGGUAACC